CCUACGGUAGGCAGCAGUGGGGAAUAUUGGGCAAUGGGCGCAAGCCUGAACCAGCCAUGCCGCGUGAAGGAAGAAGGCUUUCGGGUUGUAAACUUCUUUGUCAGGGGAAGUGCAGAAUACGGUACCCUGAAAACAAGCCACGGCUAACUAUGUGCCAGCGGCCGCGGUAAUACGGAGGUGGCAAGUGUUGUCCGGAUUGACUGGGUGUAAAGGGCGUGUAGCCGGGAAGGCAAGUCAGAUGUGAAAUCUGGAGGCUCAACCUCCAAAUUGCAUUUGAAACUGUUUUUCUGGAGUACUGGAGAGGCAGACGGAAUUCCUUGUGUAGCGGUGAAAUGCGUAGAUAUAAGGAGGAACACCAGUGGCGAAGGCAGUCUGCUGGACAGCAACUGACGGUGAGGCGCGAAAGCGUGGGGAGCAAACAGGAUUAGAUACCCGUGUAGUC
Molecule: ribosomal RNA, 442 nt
Filed under: uncultured bacterium
Lineage: Bacteria
Description: partial 16S ribosomal RNA
Rfam family: Bacterial small subunit ribosomal RNA
Source: RNAcentral